This 622-nucleotide ribosomal RNA is filed under the name uncultured archaeon. RNAcentral describes it as "bacterial SSU rRNA". It matches the Rfam family "Archaeal small subunit ribosomal RNA", at positions 53 to 682 of the family's 1478-position model. The record is from RNAcentral.
GCGAGUCAUUGUAGCAUACAAGGCAUACGGCUCAGUAACGCGUAGUCAACCUAACCUAUGGACGGGAAUAACCUCGGGAAACUGAGAAUAAUGCCCGAUAGAACAUUAUACCUGGAAUGGUUUAUGUUCCAAAUGAUUUAUCGCCGUAGGAUGGGACUGCGGCCUAUCAGUUUGUUGGUGAGGUAAUGGCCCACCAAGACUAUUACAGGUACGGGCUCUGAGAGGAGUAGCCCGGAGAUGGGUACUGAGACACGGACCCAGGCCCUAUGGGGCGCAGCAGGCGAGAAAACUUUGCAAUGUGCGAAAGCACGACAAGGUUAAUCCGAGUGAUUUCUGCUAAAGAAAUCUUUUGUUAGUCCUAGAAACACUAACGAAUAAGGGGUGGGCAAGUUCUGGUGUCAGCCGCCGCGGUAAAACCAGCACCUCAAGUGGUCAGGAUGAUUAUUGGGCCUAAAGCAUCCGUAGCCGGCUCUGUAAGUUUUCGGUUAAAUCUGUACGCUCAACGUACAGGCUGCCGGGAAUACUGCAUAGCUAGGGAGUGGGAGAAGUAGACGGUACUCGGUAGGAAGUGGUAAAAUGCUUUGAUCUAUCGAUGACCACCUGUGGCGAAGGCGGUCUACUA